Molecule: ribosomal RNA, 452 nt
Filed under: Chione subimbricata
Lineage: Eukaryota; Metazoa; Mollusca; Bivalvia; Venerida; Veneridae
Description: partial 16S ribosomal RNA
Rfam family: Bacterial large subunit ribosomal RNA
Source: RNAcentral
UUUGAUUAAAAAUAAUGAGGAGUUGGGCCUGCCCGGUGUAAUAAUUAACGGUUGCAACGAGAGUUGUACUAAGGUAGCAUAAUAAGUUGUCUCUUAAUUGGAGAAUGGAAUGAAAGGUUUGACGUAUAAUCGCUUUUUUUUAUUAAAUGAUUGAAGUUUUCUUUUAAGUGAAAAGGCUUAAAUUUUUGAAAAAGAAGAGAAGACCCUGUUGAACUUGAUUAGAAGUGUUGAAAUUAAUAUUUUGAAGUUUUGUUGGGGCAAUAUUAACUUAAAAAACAGUUAAUUUAUCAUAAGAUCCUUUAUUUGAAAGAAAUUAGAAAAAGUUACCGCAGGGAUAACAGCGUAAUUUUUCUUGAGAGAUCUGAUUGAGGGAAAAGUUUGCGACCUCGAUGUUGGAUUAUAAAAACUUUACGGUGCAGCAGCUGUAAUAGUGAGACUGUUCGUCUUUUAAU